CGGCGUGCUUAACACAUGCAAGUCGAACGGAAAGGCCCUGCUUUUGUGGGGUGCUCGAGUGGCGAACGGGUGAGUAACACGUGAGUAACCUGCCCUUGACUUUGGAAUAACUUCAGGAAACUGGGGCUAAUACCGGAUAGGAGCUCCUGCUGCAUGGUGGGGGUUGGAAAGUUUCGGCGGUUGGGGAUGGACUCGCGGCUUAUCAGCUUGUUGGUGGGGUAGUGGCUUACCAAGGCUUUGACGGGUAGCCGGCCUGAGAGGGUGACCGGCCACAUUGGGACUGAGAUACGGCCCAGACUCCUACGGGAGGCAGCAGUGGGGAAUAUUGCACAAUGGGCGGAAGCCUGAUGCAGCAACGCCGCGUGCGGGAUGACGGCCUUCGGGUUGUAAACCGCUUUCGCCUGUGACGAAGCGUGAGUGACGGUAAUGGGUAAAGAAGCACCGGCUAACUACGUGCCAGCAGCCGCGGUGAUACGUAGGGUGCGAGCGUUGUCCGGAUUUAUUGGGCGUAAAGGGCUCGUAGGUGGUUGAUCGCGUCGGAAGUGUAAUCUUGGGGCUUAACCCUGAGCGUGCUUUCGAUACGGGUUGACUUGAGGAAGGUAGGGGAGAAUGGAAUUCCUGGUGGAGCGGUGGAAUGCGCAGAUAUCAGGAGGAACACCAGUGGCGAAGGCGGUUCUCUGGGCCUUUCCUGACGCUGAGGAGCGAAAGCGUGGGGAGCGAACAGGCUUAGAUACCCUGGUAGUCCACGCUGUAAACGGUGGGUACUAGGUGUGGGGUCCAUUCCACGGGUUCCGUGCCGUAGCUAACGCUUUAAGUACCCCGCCUGGGGAGUACGGCCGCAAGGCUAAAACUCAAAGGAAUUGACGGGGCCCCGCACAAGCGGCGGAGCAUGCGGAUUAAUUCGAUGCAACGCGUAGAACCUUACCUGGGUUUGACAUGGAUCGGGAGUGCUCAGAGAUGGGUGUGCCUCUUUUGGGGUCGGUUCACAGGUGGUGCAUGGCUGUCGUCAGCUCGUGUCGUGAGAUGUUGGGUUAAGUCCCGCAACGAGCGCAACCCUUGUUCACUGUUGCCAGCACGUUAUGGUGGGGACUCAGUGGAGACCGCCGGGGUCAACUCGGAGGAAGGUGGGGAUGACGUCAAGUCAUCAUGCCCCUUAUGUCCAGGGCUUCACGCAUGCUACAAUGGCUGGUACAGAGAGUGGCGAGCCUGUGAGGGUGAGCGAAUCUCGGAAAGCCGGUCUCAGUUCGGAUUGGGGUCUGCAACUCGACCUCAUGAAGUCGGAGUCGCUAGUAAUCGCAGAUCAGCAACGCUGCGGUGAAUACGUUCCCGGGGCUUGUACACACCGCCCGUCAAGUCAUGAAAGUUGGUAACACCCGAAGCCGGUGGCCUAACCGUUGUGGGGGAGCCGUCGAAGGUGGGACUGGUGAUUAGG
Molecule: ribosomal RNA, 1432 nt
Filed under: uncultured organism
Description: 16S ribosomal RNA
Rfam family: Bacterial small subunit ribosomal RNA
Source: RNAcentral